UACAGGGGGCUCGAGCGUUAGUCGGAAUCACUGGGCUUAAAGGGUGCGUAGGCGGCUUGUCAAGUGUUUUGUGAAAUCCCACAGCUCAACUGUGGAACAGCAGGGCAAACUGACAAGCUUGAGGCAGGUAGGGGCCGGAAGAACAGUUGGUGGAGCGGUGAAAUGCGUAGAUAUCAACUGGAAUGCCGAUGGGGAAGCCGUCCGGCUGGGCCUGUCCUGACGCUGAGGCACGAAAGCGUGGGGAUCAAACAGG
This 253-nucleotide ribosomal RNA is filed under the name uncultured bacterium. Its description in RNAcentral is "partial 16S ribosomal RNA". It matches the Rfam family "Bacterial small subunit ribosomal RNA", at positions 524 to 776 of the family's 1533-position model. The record is from RNAcentral.